CUGCAACCCGCCUGCAUGAAGUUGGAAUCGCUAGUAAUCGCGGAUCAGCAUGCCGCGGUGAAUACGUUCCCGGGCCUUGUACACACCGCCCGUCACACCAUGAGAGUCGGGAACACCCGAAGUCCGUAGCCUGACCGCAAGGGGGGCGCGGCCGAAGGUGGGUUCGAUAAUUGGGGUGAAGUCGUAACAAGGUAUC
This 196-nucleotide ribosomal RNA is filed under the name uncultured bacterium. Its description in RNAcentral is "partial 16S ribosomal RNA". It matches the Rfam family "Bacterial small subunit ribosomal RNA", at positions 1305 to 1500 of the family's 1533-position model. The record is from RNAcentral.